GACGAACGCUGGCGGCGUGCCUAAUACAUGCAAGUCGAACGCUGAAACUUGGUGCUUGCACCGAGCGGGUGAGUUGCGAACGGGUGAGUACCGCGUAGGUAACCUGCCUGGUAGCGGGGGAUAACUAUUGGAAACGAUAGCUAAUACCGCAUAAGAGUAGAUGUUGCAUGACAUUUGCUAACACGGUGCAUUUGCACCACUACCAGCUGGACCUGCGUUGUAUUAGCUAGGUGGUGGGCUAACGGCCCAUCAAGGCGAAGAUACAUAGCCGGCCUGAGAGGGUGAUCGGCCAAACUGGGAAUGGGAAAAGGGCCAGACUGCUACGGGGAGGAGCAGGAGGGAAAUUUCGGCAAUGGACGGAAGUCUGGACGAGGAAAGCCGCGUGAGUGAAGAAGGUUUUCGGAUCGUAAAGCUCUGUUGUGAGGGAAGAACGGGUGUGAGAGUGAAAAGUUCACACUGUGACGUUACCUAAACAGAAAGGGACGGCUAACUACGUG
Molecule: ribosomal RNA, 497 nt
Filed under: uncultured bacterium
Lineage: Bacteria
Description: partial 16S ribosomal RNA
Rfam family: Bacterial small subunit ribosomal RNA
Source: RNAcentral